This is a non-coding RNA of Eimeria praecox, 960 nucleotides long. The record is from Rfam. NCBI's taxonomy places the organism in Eukaryota, Apicomplexa, Conoidasida, Eucoccidiorida, Eimeriidae.
GGAUGGUUUGGGCAAGUACAAGAAGCGCAUGGCACCCGGCCACUGUCACUUGGGUUUGUAGCAUUGGCACAAUUGUCUCCCAUCGUGAAGUACCACUACCACCAUUGCCCUUUUUCUUACUCCGUCAAGCUGAGAUGCAUGAAACACAUGCGUUCUUGUCGUAAAGUGCCCCUCGGGGUGUUGAUCACUGCGGAAGACACAGUCAGCUGGGGUGGAAGGCUGGAGCGGAGCAUCAGUGAAACAAAAGCGCGGGUGUCCUAAAGCUCGCUAAAUGACAACAUAAGUCUCAUGCUGAAGAAAAGGGGAAAACUUGCUUGAGUCUGAUUUUCAGUACAACUACAAACUGUGAAAGCACGGCCUAUCGAUUCUUUAGGCGUGAGAAGCUUCCAGGUAAAAACUAUGGGAAAAGCUACCACAGGAAUAACUGGUUUGUCGAAUUAAAGUGUUUACAGCGACUUUUCGACGUUGUGCUUUGAUCCUUCGAUGUCAGCUCUUCCUAUCAAUGGGAUGAAGGCGUCUCGAAGCGUCGGAUUUUUCACCCACCAAUAGGGUACGCGAGAUGGGUUUAGACCUUCGUAAGAGAGGUUAGUUUUACCCUACUGAUAAAUUUGAUACUACGAAAGUAGUUUAGCUUAGUGCAAGAUGAACAGUUGGUUUACAUACUCGGUAAAUGCCGACAGCUGAAAAGCUAGUGCCGCCCCUCUACGAUCUGUUGGAUGAUGACUGAAAGCCUCCAAGUCAGAACCCAUGCUGGCUAAGCAGUUUCUAAUCGCUCCACUGGUUCGCUUUACAGGAUGCAUGCAUGUAAUUAUACAGCCUUAGGCACAACAUAUCACAAAAACGCUCUGCGAAACGCGUUGUGGGGCAGUGGCAAUUUCACGUAUUUGGGGCGCUAGACAGUAGCAAACAACUGACCAGACAUAAGUAUCAAGGAAUGGCACUGGUGGUUAGGGAGUUUCU